Molecule: long non-coding RNA, 693 nt
Filed under: Homo sapiens (human)
Lineage: Eukaryota; Metazoa; Chordata; Mammalia; Primates; Hominidae
Description: HSALNT0087401
Source: RNAcentral
CACAAGGCUUCAUCCUGCCCUUUUUCUUCAACCCACAGCCCCACUGAUUUUAAGGGCUCUCAAACAGUGCAUCCAAGAUUUUGUCUGCUGUGGGGGAGGAGUAACUGAAUAGCUUAAGAGGUCUCUGUGUGGCAUCUAUGAGAGGGAGGGGGGAAACGGAUGAUGACUCAUACUGAGGGGUGACUAACUGGGACCCCAAUUUUCUGCAAGUUUUAUAUUUUUUUGGAAACCAUUUCUUAAGCACAAUGGGCAGUUUAAUUUAUCAAAUAACCUCAUCUUCUGUUGCUGAAUAAUUCUACUAUCAAUGUAAAAGGUCCUCAGUAAACUUCACGCUAAGUCAGCGCACGAAAAAACAACAGUCUUCUGCAAACAAAACCAUGUUUUUCCAAAACAAUUGCAAUUUCAGAUAAGCUUUUACUUUAUGAUGGUUUCCAAUAAGAAAAUGGCAACAUCAAAGUCAUUUUGGAGCCAUGUGACAAUAAAGCUACAUGUCACAGCCUUAAAUAAUGAUAAAUUAAUUCUGGCUUUUUUCUUGAUAUCCUUUGUCCCUUAUCUUGGCCUUCAGCAAAGUGCUUCUCAUCAUCAUAUUCACCAUGCACACAUAUACAUGAAACUAUAAUGACAAAUGAUGAUAUGAAUAUCCAUUGCUCCAACAAAUAUAAUCUUGAUACCAAUAACAAUAAUGAAAAUAAG